GUGAUUUUGAAGAUACGCAGUGUGUGUAGGGAAAGAGGGAAAGGGAAUUACAUGCAGAAGUGUAAAGCCGGAAGUCGAACCGCUGACUGACGGCUCCGGAUGUGUCCAGCAUUUUUCAAACCGGGUACGUUCAGCUGAACGUGAUCACGUGGGCAACAUUAAACGCGCGCAAACACAGGUCCUAAUGGGAAGUCUUGCUAUUUGCACAACGUCUGCAUCCAGCCGAAGUCUUGCUAUCUAUACAGCUUCUGCACCCAGCCGAGAAACACCGUGACGAGAAGAACUGCCUGCAAAUCUUGCACCAGCACUGCUAAGAAAGUGGAGUUGAACCAAGAUUGAGGAGGUGGUUGCUGAUGCUCCUGACGGUUUAGAAAAGGAGUUGGCAGAGGAGGUCAUGAAGAUUUACAUGCUGUGGAACCAGGGACAAUCAGAUGAUGCACCUACUGAUGUAGGGAUUGUAAUUGAGGGCGUCAUUGUCCUCCGCAGUCUUGGGGAUCUUAGCAGAGCCUGCUGCUAUCUGUUGGGACUAACCUAUGACUUGGAUCUGAGAUACCCCCGGAAUCUCAGAUACAUUUUUGAGGUAUUCCAAAAAGUGCUACUGGAGCUGGAUCCUGGAAACCUUUCAACCAAGGUUCAAAGACUGAAAAAUUACCUGUGUACUUAGUUGUCAACUACUGUUCAGUGAGAUGCUCUCACUAAUCUGGAUUUUGUCCAAUUUCAAGGUGUGCAUGUCUUAAAAUUUUUGUGAAAUAUUGUCUUAAUCCCAAAGUAACGUGUAACAAAGUAUAGUGAGGGCAAACAGUAAAAACUCAUUCCAUCUUAUAGGCUGUCUUGCUUAUUGUAAGCGUCAACAUUUUUCAAAUUGUCAGUUGUUUCCUGAUGGACAGGAGAAACCAGGUGCCAGUUUUUGUUAUCGGUCUCUUGAUUUUGUUUUAUGAUCUUACAUUUGCCAUUUUGUUUAAUAACUUCUUGAUUUGAGAAAGGGUGGGAAGGACAGGACAUUGAUUGCUCAGUACUUGGCAACAAGAUGUUUUUCACUCAAAGUGAUUCGUUCCAAAAUUUGCAUCAGAAUGUAGAAAUGUACUCUGGCGUUUUAACAUAAUGGUGUAGGCCUGCCCAGUUACUGUCAAGGGGCUGAUUAGCAAUAAAGCUAGUUAUUGCUGAUGUUAGGUGUCACUGUUCUUAGUGUAUUUCAGCCAUGUGCAGAGCUCAGUUCAGCCUGUUGCUCUUGAACCAGAAGCAUUUUUUUACCUGCACUUUGCUGACAGUAAAUGAGUGUUUUAUCCAUGUUGUAGAUGCUGCUGGCUAAUAUUAGCUUUCAGUGCACUGUUUUCAUACUGUGGACAUUGUUAUAUAUGUGAUUUGUAAAGUAAACCAGGUUGA
This is a long non-coding RNA of Amphiprion ocellaris (clown anemonefish), 1383 nucleotides long. RefSeq lists it as uncharacterized. The transcript has 3 exons. The record is from RefSeq and is a predicted model, not a curated record. Lineage: Eukaryota; Metazoa; Chordata; Actinopteri; Pomacentridae.